GGUCAAGCAAUGAAGCGCACACGGUGGAUGCCUAGGCAGUCAGAGGCGAUGAAAGACGUGGUAGCCUGCGAUAAGGUUCGGUGAGGUGGCAAACAACCUGUGACCCGGACAUUUCUGAAUGGGGAAACCCACUCAUCAACAGAUGAGUAUCUUACGCUGAAUAUAUAGGCGUAAGAGGCGAACCAGGGGAACUGAAACAUCUAAGUACCCUGAGGAAAAGAAAUCAACCGAGAUUCCCCUAGUAGCGGCGAGCGAACGGGGACCAGCCCUUAAGCGUGUGACGGAUUAGACGAACAGACUGGGAAGUCUGGCCAUAGCGGGUGAUAGCCCCGUAGUCGAAAAUCUGAUCACGUGAAAUCGAGUAGGUCGGGGCACGAGAAACCUUGACUGAAGACGGGGGGACCAUCCUCCAAGGCUAAAUACUCCUGACUGACCGAUAGUGAACCAGUACCGUGAGGGAAAGGCGAAAAGAACCCCGGAGAGGGGAGUGAAAUAGAUCCUGAAACCGUGUGCGUACAAGCAGUAGGAGCCCACUUGUUGGGUGACUGCGUACCUUUUGUAUAAUGGGUCAGCGACUUAUAUUCAGUGGCGAGGUUAACCGUAUAGGGGAGCCGUAGGGAAACCGAGUCUUAACUGGGCGACACAGUCGCUGGAUAUAGACCCGAAACCGAGCGAUCUAUCCAUGAGCAGGGUGAAGGUUGAGUAACAUCAACUGGAGGCCCGAACCAGGAUCUGUUGAAAAAGAUUUGGAUGACUUGUGGAUCGGAGUGAAAGGCUAAUCAAGCUCGGAGAUAGCUGGUUCUCCUCGAAAGCUAUUUAGGUAGCGCCUCACGUAUCACCGCCGGGGGUAGAGCACUGUUUCGGCUAGGGGGUCAUCCCGACUUACCAACCCGAGGCAAACUCCGAAUACCGGUGAGUGCCAGCGUGGGAGACACACGGCGGGUGCUAACGUCCGUCGUGAAAAGGGAAACAACCCAGACCGUCAGCUAAGGUCCCCAAAUCCUGGUUAAGUGGGAAACGAUGUGGGAAGGCUCAGACAGCUAGGAGGUUGGCUUAGAAGCAGCCAUCCUUUAAAGAAAGCGUAAUAGCUCACUAGUCGAGUCGGCCUGCGCGGAAGAUGUAACGGGGCUAAACCAGGUACCGAAGCUACGGGUUCA
This 1157-nucleotide ribosomal RNA is filed under the name Vreelandella aquamarina. RNAcentral's name for it is "partial 23S ribosomal RNA". It matches the Rfam family "Bacterial large subunit ribosomal RNA", at positions 1 to 1210 of the family's 2925-position model. The record is from RNAcentral. Lineage: Bacteria; Pseudomonadati; Pseudomonadota; Gammaproteobacteria; Oceanospirillales; Halomonadaceae.